This 402-nucleotide unclassified non-coding RNA is filed under the name soil metagenome. RNAcentral describes it as "partial contains 5.8S ribosomal RNA, internal transcribed spacer 2, and large subunit ribosomal RNA". The stretch from base 1 to 121 matches the Rfam family "5.8S ribosomal RNA", at positions 35 to 154 of the family's 154-position model. The record is from RNAcentral.
GAUGAAGAACGUAGCGAAAUGCGAUAAGUAAUGUGAAUUGCAGAAUUCAGUGAAUCAUCGAAUCUUUGAACGCACCUUGCGCCCUUUGGCUAUUCCGAAGGGCAUGCCUGUUUGAGUAUCAUGAACACCUCAACUCUCAUGGUUCGCCCUGAUGAGCUUGGACUCUGGGGGUCUUGCUGGCCUAUGGUCAGCUCCUCUCAAAUAAAUCAGCUUGCCAGUGUUUGGUGGCAUCACAGGUGUGAUAACUAUCUACGCUUGUGGUUUUCCAUCAGGUAACCUUCAGUGAUGGAGGUUCGCUGGAGCUCAUAAAUGUCCCUCCUCAGCGAGGACAGCUUUUUGAACGUUUGAUCUCAAAUCAGGUAGGACUACCCGCUGAACUUAAGCAUAUCAAUAAGCGGAGGA